Molecule: ribosomal RNA, 292 nt
Filed under: uncultured bacterium
Lineage: Bacteria
Description: partial 16S ribosomal RNA
Rfam family: Bacterial small subunit ribosomal RNA
Source: RNAcentral
GUGCCAGCCGCCGCGGUAAUACGGAGGAUGCAAGCGUUAUCCGGAUUCAUUGGGUUUAAAGGGUGCGCAGGCGGGUUGAUAAGUCAGAGGUGAAAUCCCACAGCUUAACUGUGGAACUGCCUUUGAUACUGUCAGUCUAGAGUAUAGUUGAAGUUGGCGGAAUGUGUCAUGUAGCGGUGAAAUGCUUAGAUAUGACACAGAACACCGAUCGCGAAGGCAGCUAGCUAAGCUAUAACUGACGCUCAUGCACGAAAGCGUGGGGAUCAAACAGGAUUAGAUACCCUCGUAGUCC